AAUCCUAAAUAGUGCUCGAAGUAGCUUUCAGCCCGGGCUGAAAUGUACUGCAGCUGUCGUGUUUAUCUGCAUUAGUCCCCUUCAAGAAGGUGAUUCGGGCUAUCUCCCUGCGUGAGCGUCCCCGGGUAGGCAGAUGCCGCGUGUCCUCCUGCCGUGCCCGGGGUGGCCUGAUACCUCUCCUGGGGUGCAGGUGCAGCGGUCUGAGCGGUAACGCUCACUGACUGCAGUGAACCAAGCCAUCGGUAGAAAUCUGUCAUAAAGCAGUGUAAGUAGUUGUUUAACAACAACAACAGCGUUCUGCAGUGUCUGGGUGCGGCACCUUUCAGGCUAAGGAGCAUUUUGUUGUAAUUGAGCUCCAAAUCUGUGAGGAAACCAGGUGAAAGUUUCCCUGCUUGACGGUAAAUGUUUUUUUUAAUGUGCCUUUAAAUUGUAAGGAGAAGGAGGUGGGCUUGCUGAUGAAUAUUUGGUUUGUUACGCAAACUUUGGAACUUACUAGGCUGUUGUUUUAAUGUGGUAGUGGUGGUGGAGAGCUCAACCCUGAGAGUUACUCGGAGCCAGUGGGAUUGAGGUACUUCACUGAAGAUGCUCACUAAGCCAGAACUGGAGCUUCUUAGUCCUGAGUCCUGCAGGGAAGUGCAGUUGUGUUAGAACCGGAGUUUUCUCUUUUAAGGGGAGCAAGUGUCUAUUUAAAAUGUUAAAAGAAAAUGUUGCUUUCAAAGCUUUAGCCAUGUGUACAACAACACUGAAGAAGCGGCAGCUUCUGUGCUGCUUAUUUCGGUAAUCACUGUUGCACACAGUCAAAUUCCAAAGCAGAAAAAGUAUGCAAGCUUGCCAGCAGUUGGUGGCAGGAAAAUCAGUAGGAGAGCAAUAUGGAAAGAGAUAAACAGGGAUUUUUGUUAUUAGUGAGGUGACACUAUUAGCCAUCUAUGCUGCUGCAGUCUCUUGAGUUUUGGUAGGCACUUGCACAGUCCCGUUGUCUUUGAUGUGUUUGUUUCAUUGUGCAAUGCGUAUGCCUUUAGGAAUCCUUUUCUUUAAAAAUCUUUUAUCUCUUUGCUGUGUAUGUGUGCUGUCUACAACGUUUCAUCCACACAUGACUGUUCACCCUGUAUAAUAAUCUCAAAGUACUAUAGAAAUGAAGGUAGCUAUCACUGACUGUGUUUUACAGAUGGGAAAAUUGUUAAGUCAUGUAAGCUAUAUAUAAUUUCCGAGACCCAGGAGUGCUUCCCUUCUCUGUGCCUAGCUAUAUACCAUGGCAAUGCCCCAAAGCAAUUUCAGAAGAAGACUGCAUUCUCCUUACGGUGUCUUUUCUCAGUGAGAAUGAAAGCUGUCCAUAAAGGAGGGAAGAGAAUUGCUCUGCAGCCUGGCAAUGGUCCUGACUUGGAUGAUCUAGGCUCCAAGUUCCUGAAGGAUCUGCUCUGCCAUUUAGAUACAUCAUGGACAAGUCAGAGCAACAUCCAAGACUACAGAGACCUUCUGUAUUUUGACCCAUCAGCCUUACUGUUACCUGAAUUAGUGUAUGAACAGGCUGAAUACAAACUCUUGAAAUUUGUGUGAUAUCUGAAGAUCUUUGGCCCACUGUGUUUUGUAGCUGUGCUACUAGUAACACACUAUUGUUAAUAUUCUACAUAUGCUAAUUGGUUUCAAAGAGGAAGAAGAGUGGAAAUGGAAAGCAAUUGUGAAUUAGAGGCAGAAAUAAGAGUAAAUCAAGGGGGCAGAAAAGGAUAGAGGAGAGGAAAAGAGAAAAAGAGGAAGGGAGGACACGUCUGUCUGUCUAGACAAGAGGCAAAGUGAAUUGGUAAAUUCUCAUUGUACAGCUGCCUCCAUAUUUAUGAGCUUAUGCUUGAAUACAGACUAUCUGCAUUGACCACAUCUGGUUGGAGGUACAUAUUUGUUUAAGCCCAGCAUAUGAAACACUUUUUUUUUCUUAUCCAGACUGAGUUGCUUCUAGGUUUGUGGUAGCCACAUAAAACAUUUGUUGGUGUAUAUGUUGAGAACAUGCUGGAAAAAUCAGUGUCAAAAAAAUCGUUUCUCCAAGACAAAAAAAAAAUUCAUGCAGAAAAGGGACCUUUGGAAACAGAUAUACAGCAGAAGUCUUCACUUUUCAUUGGAAAUACAUGAGAAAAUCAAAUGUAAAGGAAAAAAAUGGGGAGGAAAAAUAGGAUAAAAGUAGGAUAGGAUGCAAAUAGGAUAGGAUGGAAAAGAUAGGAUGCAAUAAAUUGAAUAAAAAAAAGAAAAAUGUUUUAAGGCAAGCACUUCCUGGCAGACAAAUAGCUUAAUAUACAUGUAAGAUAUAUUCUUUAUGUAACUGUAUUGUACACAAAAUGGGGGAGCUAAAUUUUUCAGUAUACAUGUGAGCUCUGGUUGUCAUUUUGUUUUGUUUUUAAAGAGUUCAUACCAUACUUCAGUGUGUUUCUGAGUCAGGCUUUGACAAAAAAAUUGCAGCCUAAUUUUAUAUAGUGAUGGGAAACAUAAGAUGAUGCCUUUUAAUCAGUUUUAAUGGAACAAAGGUAUUUGCAGUCGCUUGGGAUUCACGGACAUUAUAAAUACAGUACAGAGUUAUUCUAAAGCAUAGUGCUCUAAAAUGGGAUUACUUGAUAAAAGAAGAAGUAUUUUUGCAGUGUUUUUUGGUCACAAUCACAUGUUAAAAAUUCAGGGAAGCUGAAGGGAAGGUUACCAUCUUUCUUGCUAGUAGCAUCUCAAGGGAGAAGCUGCUGCAAAAUAAAUGAUCUGUUCUUACAUGGGGUACACUCAGGACCUGGGUUUUUUUAUUAUUAUUAUUUUAUCUGUUUGGAUAGCUGUUGUCCCUGGGAACUCUGCUUACAGCCUUGACUCAUAGUGUGCUCUCUGCUUAUUAGUACGCAAUGCAAGUUUGGCUCCAGAUGCGAAGGUAAGGCUAACAGCUGCAUGGCCAGCACACUGGGCACUACCAGAGUAAGGAGGGAAUACUGUUUUAGCAAGAGCAGUGAUUGGAGGUCGUUAGUAGCCUCACUGUUGUCAAAAUGUUCUGUAGCAUUACGUCUGAGGAGAGUUCAGAGGAGAAUUUUGAGAGGUUGCUAUAUACAUUCUGUGGAUGUUUAUGGACGAUUGAUUUAAACGUUGUGGGCCAAUGUUAGAAAGGGUCUGACAUGAAAGUGUAAUAACCUUGAGACUAGUACUGUGGGCUGACUGGAGGGGAACAUCUCUAGAAAAUUGGGGAUGCUGUGUUGUGUAAUGAUAAUGUAACUUCUUAUCAUAGCUGAAAAAUUAAAUUUCCAGCUUUAUAGCAGAAGGUGGCGCCAGUUCCACAUCUUCCUGUAAGACUGGGAUGUGACUGGGCAGUUCAGUUCUCCAUUUCUUCCUUUUAAGUGUGAAAGUGUGUACUUCUGCACAGUCACACUCACUUGCCUGUAUUUUAAUGGCUGAAGUCUCUGUUCCUAGUCCUGUGUUAUUCUUCAUCCUACAGGUCAAAAAAAAAAGAAAAAAAUUAUCACAAGUUUAACAUUUAAGAAGUGUUUCAGUUAUAUAUUUCCAUUUCAGGGAAGGAGAAAGGAGUAUAUCUUUGACAGUUUGAUGUUUUAAAGUGGUAGCUCUUUGAAGCGGAUGAGUAAUUUUUAAAGUUCAGGGAUCUGUCUACUAAAGAAAGGGAAAUACUAGGAUAUGAAAACAGGUACAUAUUAUGAAUUCAGUUGUUAUAUUCCUUUACAGUUCAUCUAAUGACACUGUAAUUGCUUACAUGUAUAUCUGUCUCCUUACAUAUUGUGCUUAUGUGUUUUUGCCUAGUAUGUGUUUAUGUACAAAUAAAUUGAAUAUGAAAACUGAAAAUGAUUCUAGGGGCAGUCUUUCACAAUAACUAUGGUUAUUCUAGUAUAAGUAUUUUGUUAUGUGGAUAUUUUUAAUGGCAUUCAGCUUGCACACAGCAUUUUUAUAGGACAAUCAAUUGCAAACAGUGAGGCUAAAAAUGAUGAAAGUGUAAUUGAAAAUAAUUCAAUUGCAAUUUGGAAAUGUAUAAAAUCCCCUUAAGUCUCCAUCUGCUUUUCCAUAAAACAUUAUAGGGUUAAGAAACAGUGACUCCACAAACAGAGAUCUUAUAUGGUCAUUCUGUGCCAAGAAGUCCCAGCCAUUAUCAGCGUAUUAUAAAAAAGGCGUCAGUGGCACUUUUAUAUCAAGGAGUUCAUAAUUGUUUCCUGGGAAAGACACAAUGAUGUAGAACACAGGAGAAGCACGUAGUGCUUAGGCUUAGUUGCCUGAAUUUGCUUUGAAUGCUCUUACUGGUUUUGCCUAGUAGGAAAGAUCUGUAGGCCUGAGAUUUCUGUUGUGAUAUUGUUAAAUACAAAUAACUCUAAUACUCUAGGAAUGAAAACAGAUAAUGGAGAAGUCUAGACAAGAAUAUCAGCAGUAGGAGAAGAAUCUAGCCAGACUUAAGGACUUGGAAAGAGAAGAAUAUAAAAAGAGUGAUGUGAAAUGAUAAUCAUUUAAGUGACUCAGAGCGUUUUAUGUGAAAUACGGUAACAAAAGAAAAAAUACUAAUGUGUAGCUGAAAGAAGCAAAGUGCAUCUGUCCUGCCAUUUUAAAUGCUAGCCAUUGGUUUUAUGUGUUUUUAGCGGGCUGCAAUUUCAAGCAAGUUAUUCCAAUCUCUGGAGAUGUGUUAGACCACUACAUUUUCCAGAUAAUUUUGUAAUUUGUAAAGUAUAAUCAGACCUACUGUGACAGCUAUUAAAAGGUGGUCUUGUUUUCUUCUGAUGUCUGUCUGCCCAUCUCUAGGACUGCUCCAAGGCUCUUCCCAGGCCUCUGAGGACCACGUUGGUACGUCUGGUAAAGUGUGGUUAGUCCAGUGCUCUUCCUAAGGCCUCCAGGCAUCAGUCAGAUGCCUCUGACCUGCUCUUCCAGGAGCUGUCUAAGGCUUCUCUCAGAGCCUCUUCAAGGCAGGCUUCUUAGCCCAUUCAUAUAUUUCUUUGUUGUCUUUGUAAAAUAAAACUGGAGAGAACAGAAACUUUAAUUUAAAAAUAAUUUUUACCUUGGGAUUUUCAGAAUAGCCUGUGGGAAUUCAAUUCACACUGUUAACAAGGUAAUGAAGUGCUAUUCUAAUUAGCCUGAGAAGAAAUGGCUCUAAGAUUUAUGUCUAAAUUUAAUACUACAUCCAAGGACUCAAAGUAGCAUUUGCAAGAUACAUUUGUCAAAUGACUUGGCAAUCCUGUGUCUAAUUUGCAAACAGUUGCUGUAGGUAUUGUACUAGUCAAAUGAUGGUGUAACCAAACGUUUUCACUGUCAUGAGUAAGCGUGACUCCUCCUUAUACAAUGAAUCUGAAUCUUCUCUCCUGUAGGCAACAGCUCUGUUCCACUUUAAUAUUGUAGUGUUUUCUGAGCCAAAUUCUGGUCUUUUAAGGAGAAAUGCAGUAAUUAAAAUAUGUAUAUUUUUGCAAAGCUAGUUAUAUUUAAAAAAAAGUUGUUAUUUUAGGAAAUGAACCUUAUGUGUUAAACCUUUAUUUUCUUUGUAGCAAAGGUACUACCAUGCCUUUUCUUUCCCUGUACUUUUGAAAAAGCAGUUAAGAAGAACACAAGAUUACUAUUUUUAUUAUCUAUAAUGUGAUAGAAUAUUUGUUUUGUUGCAUGUCUACUUCCAUACCCCAGAGUUAUGAGUGGAUUUUUUUUUUCUUGCACACUUGUCUGUAGGCAAGAAGGAAGAACAAGUAAGGAUUGGCCCAGAACAAUAGCCUCAAGCUAAUGUCGCAGGUUACGUCGUUCUUCACUAUUCUUCCCUGUCUCCCAGUCUAACGGGAAGCACUUCUUUUUUGAGUCUCUCUAAAGAGAUGUAUUCUAGAUAGUGGCUGACUCUGAGAGAAGAUAAGAUUCCAGGCUUGCUUUAUAUUUUGAAAUAAAAUGGAAGACAUUGUUCCAGCCCUGGGAAAUUGAUGGUCUAUAGAAAACUUUGACUACCUACCUAUUUGAUGUGUGCUUCCCAAGAUGCUGGUUGUAGAACAAAUAUCCUAACCUGUUGACCUGCUGUAUAGGCUCUAGCCACUUGCGUAUUGUAACAGGUCUGCUGUUCUGUUUGUGUUGAAUUGAGUCUUUUUCUAAUGGGACACAGAAGUGCAGCUACUCACAAAUCUAUUUAAAUGGUAUCUUUUGCCUCAGCUUAGAGUCGGUCACUCUGCAACCAUACAGCAGUUCAAAAGGACCCAAUCUCAUGAUGUGGGUUCUGCUGGUUGUUAAAAAAUGAAGCUGUGAAAUGUGACUCAGGUGGGAGAGGAUCCUUAUUCAGCUCUCUAAGUCACUGAGGAUAGGCUGCAAAAUGGUUUAAUGGAAUCUUAAAAAUCAAUCAGCUAGCAAACUGCCCUGUAUUUGAUAGCAUGAUACUACAACUUUGCAUUUCUCUCAGAAUCUCCUGUUAUUUCUGAAAUAUGAAUCUCCUAUAGACAUAAUAUUUCCUAGAGAAAAUUCAGUAAAAUUUCUAAGGCAUUGUGAAUUGAGUAGAUUGAUAGGACCAAUGUAUAGUUUCUGGUUCCACUACCAUUAGAAGACUUUUUUUCUGCUGUGAUUGUAAUAACAUUCUUAGUAAUCCUAUGAGAGCCAUGUCUUACUUUUGAGAAUGUGUUCUGUAGACAAUGACACAAGAAUAGCUUUUUCUCUCUUUUGUAUACUGUGUUCUCUAGUAUAUAACGCUGUUCCAGCUCCUCAUUGUGUAGUAACAUGCAUUUGGUGAAAGUGAAUGCUUGAUUGAUUUCCUUCUUCAAAUGAGAAAGUGGCACACUAUUUCCUAUUAGUCAAGGUACUGAUUGUUGGUUUAUAUCCUCAGUAAAUUUAUGCAUAUCUAGAUUUUUUUUAAAGGUAUCAGUUUUGGGGAAUCAGAUAUUUGCCAACAGUGUGUAUAAACAGAUGUAUUUACCACAAGCGACCUCAUAAUUUGAAGAGGAAAAUAACAUGUGUUCACUGACAUUAUGCCAGCAUUAAAACAUCACAGAGGAUUUAAGUAACCAGUGUUAAUCCCUCAUAACGAAUGAAAUGAUGUUUGGAAUGAUGGAAGUAGAAGCAUCAGUUUCAAGUUGUUUCCCAAAAAUAAAUUACCAGCCAUUUUGUCAGCGUAAGUUGAGUUUGUAGGAGAUAGGCAUGACAUUUUUCUUGUUAUGUUGGCCAAAAGGAGUGUAGAAGUGUAUCUGAUAGCCCACCCACAUCUGAAUUAAAGGGAUGUAAACCUAAAAAAAAGAAAAAAAAAAAAACACCCACCCCAAGAUGGGAGACACUGAUGAGAAGGAGGGAGAGGAUGAGAAACGGGGAAGAGGUGAGCCUCUGGAAAGCUCGAACUGCACACCGUAUGUGUCUAACAUUAGGUAACAUGUUUUUUAGAGGUGCUAAACAUCUGCAAUCCCCACUAACUUCAUGAAUUAGACAUUGUUUCACAAAUGUGCUCAGUAUCUGUAGCUACAUUCCCAUCUAAAAAUAUGUGAAUGCCAGAUCCAUUAGUUCAACACCUAACAUCAUCUAUAAUAUUAGAGGAAAAAAUAACAGGGAACUAAUUUUUUAUCUGUACUAUGCUAUCAUCUAUGACUGAUCUGUCACACUGUGGGACAUACUGGUCUGUAGCAAAGCCCCUAGUCUGUAGUUCAAAGCCACUAGACCUGUUUCUAAAUGUUUUGUAGGGUGAUGCUUAGAGUUAGAUUCUCGGACUAGAGAAAGGAUGUGUCAUUUUCAAGAGAAGGUUUUAUUUUCCAUAGAUGUAUGAGAUGUUAACUAUUUGUCUCAACUUUGUGGGAGGGACAGUGUGCGCAGAUAGUGCAACUGAAGUAAAACUCAAACUUCUUGGUCAGUGACUCACUUGAUUAGCCAGGCUUCUAUGCGUAAUGCAGAGUUGUGAUACUGAUGUUACAAAGUGACUCUUCUAAAACCUUCCCACAAAAUAUAAUCAUGCUCUUACUGUGUAGUCUGACAGCACCUUUCUUCCAUCCAAGGAGCUCAGCACAUUUCACAACCAUUAAGUCUGCCAAUGAAAUAGUUGAAUAUCAUUAUCCCGUUUUUCUCGAUGAGGUGUGUCGAGAUUAAUGACUUGCUAGAGUCACACAGAAAACUGGCAACAGAGCAAGGAGUAGACUGCAGCUCUCCCAGCUCUCCUGCCUAUGCUUUUGCUUGUAAAAUGACUCUUUCUACUCAAAAGAAUAACUACUCCUGGUUUUGGAACAGCAGUACUAGCGCAUGAACUGAAAAGAUGGAUUACUGAGUCAGUAAAAUAAAAAACUAAAGCAGCUCUGCUUCUCUUCUACUAAUACAAUAGAGGAACUGAGCUAUUACUGGUAUAGGAAUGCUUCUAAGUAAAGGCAGUUGGUAAAGAGUGCAAGAGUCUAAGACCUGAAUUUGAAGAAGGUGAGGGGAGGGAAGGGGAUUUCAGCACACUGAUGCAGCCCUCACCUCCAGAAGUCUCGCAUGACCAGCAGUGAAGAAACAGCUGUCAAUCUGAGCUUCAGUCCUGAACAUCCUGAUUCAUUCCUCGUCGUCUCGAUUUGGCGAUGUCUAAAUCUCAGCAUUUCUGUUCAAACUGAGAAAAUGUGUUGUGUUCAUUGUCCUCUGUGCAAGUCACAUGUGAUGACUGGCGUUUUCUCUUUCCCGAUACGGCGAAGAAGGUACAGCUCAGUUUUGUGGCCCAUCCGGAAAUGGUAUCCAUGCUCACUCCUUUGCUAUAUGUGAUGAGGCCAGUGUUUAACUGCUGACUCAUGGGCUUGCAUCCAGUUUCCCAAUUUACAGUUUAAUGCAGAUGAAAGAAUAACGUUUCUCUCCUGCCCUGGCCAGCACAGCUAACCUCUCAUGGGCUGACCAGUCUUCUACAAUCUACAGUGAUUGUUUUGUUAUUGACCUCAUCUUUUGACUUCAGAGUAGUUCACAGUAUAUAUCGUCUGUCAUGUUGAUAAAACCUUACGAAAAGACAUUGGUGUUCUGUGGAAAAACUGUUCUCUAAAAUGCAUGUUGAAUGUAGAUUAACUUAAUGCAAGUUAAAAGUAAAUUGGAUUACUAAAGGUAUUUGUGCUAUUGGAA
Molecule: long non-coding RNA, 8997 nt
Organism: Dromaius novaehollandiae (emu)
Lineage: Eukaryota; Metazoa; Chordata; Aves; Casuariiformes; Dromaiidae
Exons: 4
Source: RefSeq, a predicted model, not a curated record